This 7496-nucleotide long non-coding RNA is filed under the name Citrus maxima (pomelo). RNAcentral's name for it is "long non-coding RNA (CMAX_LNC002532)". The record is from RNAcentral. Lineage: Eukaryota; Viridiplantae; Streptophyta; Magnoliopsida; Sapindales; Rutaceae.
UCAUUCUCCAGGACUUCAUCAUUCCAGCUUACUUGAUCUUCGAUCUUCUUCUUCCUUGGAGAACAAGUCAUGUUAUCGAUUGAGGAUUGAUCAUUGAAUGUUGCUGCAGCAUCAAUCUGAGGGAUGAUAUUAUUUCUAGGGGACUUUGGUGAGUCCAAUAUUUUCAUGUCGACAAAUUCAUUUUCCUUCAUUUUCUUGAAGAAAACUUGGGAGAGUACAGCAUCCUGAUCGGCUUCAAUGGAUCCUAUAUUAUUAUUAUUAUUAUUAUUAUUAUUAGACCCGUUGAUCUUGUCAGUGAUUGCUGUAGGUUUCUUGACGAUGACUUGAUAAUCAUCAUCAGCUUCAGGAUCUUGGUGGCCUUCCUUCAGAAUUGCUGCUGGCUCCAGCUGAAUUGGAACUGGCACAAGCUGUUUGGCGGUCACUUUCCUGGAAGAAUUUCCUGAUGGUGUUUCAAUGAUUUUCUUGGAUUCUGGUGAUGGACACAUGAAGUAGUUCAUGUCGAAAACGCUUUUCGGAUUCAAACUCCUCUGUUUUCCUGAUAAAAUUUUCUUCUCAUCAGGAUUUUCCGGAAAAUCAAGAAACCUGGAAUCAGGAAGGAAUUCCCACUCUUCUUCGUAGUCCAUUUUUUUCUUUUUUUUCCCACUUGAGGAAAUUGAUCAAAGAGAGGGUUUUUGUAAGUGGGAUCUUUUGUAUUGUUGAUUUGAUGAAUUAUUGGAUCAAAGAUGGUGAGUUUUGUAUGUUUGUUUAGGUGGAAUUUCGAGAAGUAAGAGCUAGCAAGGCCACCACCAAGGGGUGUCCUAAUGACUAAUUCAAUCACAGAUUGAAGUUGAAGCCAUUAAGUGAGAAAAUUAUGAGGGAGUUUGAUUGAGAGCUUAUCCUCUCUAAAGACGACAAUGGAGGAGAGGUCCAACUGGGGGGCCCAUCUUGUUUUUGCUAGAUAUUUCUUUCCAAUUCUUUACUCGUUACUAAAUUUACAAGUUUUGAUUACUUUAUUAUCUUUUUGGAUAAAUUUGAACUAGAAGUAUAUGUUCAACUAAGGGUAAAGAAUAGUUCCCCCCGCCAGAUUGAGGCAGAGAUUUUUUAAGGUUAUCAGUUGAGUUUUUAAUUACUAAGAUCUAUUAAAAGCAUAUAAUGAAUAAAGAGUUUAAAUUUCGCACAUAACCAGGAUAUGAAAACGUUUAAUUCAAAAAUACCAAAAUUUCUUUUAUAUUUCUGAAUUCUUUUAUUCGGGUUCCAAAUUGCAGGUUAAAUAUAACAGUAAAUUGAAAAAAUGUAACCAAAAAAUUGAAAAAAAAGUUUGAUAGAGAAUUUGUAUCUGUUUACCUUUUAUUUUCUUAAUUUAUACAUGUUAAUUGUUAAAGAGAGAGUGAUGGAACUUUCUUUUUACCAGAAGAGAGAUUCUUUAAUUAGUGUCGUUACUCUUGUGAUAUGAAAAAGAAAAAAAGGCAAAAAAAAAAAAGAGUGUAGGUCAGGUUGCUUGUAAGAGUUUGCUUGGAAUGAUAUUGACAGGAUGAGGUUUAGAAGAAAAAAGAAAUAGGGAAAAGUGAUAGCCCCACCCACCACUGUGCAUGGGCCGGUGUCUUAAUUGACUUUUUCCACCAAUGUUCCACAAUUUGAGUCAAAUGACUCAAAUCCUUUGCUUCUCUUAGAAUUAGCACACAACCAUCCUUGUAGACACAUCUACUUUGGAUUAUUUGAAUGUAAAAUUUAUUAGGAACCACCCAUUAGUUGGAUGGUACACCACUUUCCUUGUAGUAUAUAUGUGAAUAAGUUCGAGUCUCUACUCUCUAUAUCUAGAUGGAAAGUAAAAUUUAUUAUAUAAGGAGAUUUGAACUUCUCCCCACAUGUGAGAAGAUAUGUGAUUUACUGUCCUAUUAAUGAGUGAUUCAUUUUUAAAAUGUGAUGAAUUUACCAUAUAAGGACACUUGGACUUCUUUCCACCUGUGAAGUGAAGAGUUAUGUGGUUUAAAAAUAGGUUCGAGUCUUUAUGUCUUGGAUGAGAAGCAAAAUUUAUCAUAUAAGAGGACUCGAACUCUUUUCUACAUGUAAGAAGAUAUGUAAUUUAUUAUCUUAUAAAUUAGUGGUUUCUUUUUAAAAUGUGAUGAAUUUUCCAUAUAAGGGGACUCAAAAUUCUUCCCACGUGUGAGAAGAUAUGUGAUUUAUUGUCCAAUUAACAUGCGAUUCCUUUUUAAAAUGUGAGGUGGCAUAUUGUGUGCACGUAUUAGUUAUUCUUAUUCACAUGGAAAAAAAAAAUAUGUGGUUUACUACCAUAUUAAUGAGUGAUUCAUUUUUAAAGUGUAUUACUCCAACUCAAAUCAUGUCUUGUAUCAUGAUGAUGCUGAUUACAGUAAAAGAUUUGACAUUAGCAAAACUACUAUAAUGGUGGAAGAGGUAUCCUAAUGGAUCUUUAAUACGUUGAGUGCACGUUGAGUGGAAGUAUCUUUACUGCACUAUUAGUAAUUGGUUCCUUUUAAAAAUAUGUUACUGAUUUUAUUUUUUUAAUUUUUUUAAAAUGAUGUAUUACUCCAAGUCUCCAACCUAAGUCACGUAUUAUUAUAUCAUGAUGAUAUUGAUUACAGGCAAAAGAUCUGACACUAUUAAUUGGUAAAAUCUACUGUGGUGGAAGAGUUACCCUAGUGCAGCUCGAAUAUGUUGAGUGCACAUUGAGUGGAGGUAUCCAAAUAUUUGUCAGCUAUCUAGCCUUGCUCUUGCUUGUCAAUUUGGCUUUGAACAACCGUUCAAGAUUAACUGAUACGAUGGUUGAUCAAUUGCAAUUGCUGAGUGAGAUGAUUUGUACAGACUAGAGAACAUAAUAACAGAAGAUUUUGCAAACCAUCUUCUUAAGUGAUUUCGGAGUUCAAAUUAGCCAAUGAGAAAGAUCAAAGCUCAAAAGAACCGAUAUUUCCUAGAACCAACCCAUUUUUACGUUAAUCACUGUUUCAAUUGCCGGCAAGCAAGCUAAAGCCAAGAUAAAGUGGUCCUAAUGCAUAAUAAUGCAAUAAUAUUUCAACAUCAGCGGGUCUGCCAUCGAAAGGCAACUUGUUACAAGCCAUAUCUCAAGAUUGCUCAAUUGUAGGAAUGCCUACUAAAUUUUGGCACGAAAUUAGAAGUCAAUCCCUAUACGUGUGUGCGUGUUGUGAGAGAGUCGGAGAGGAGGAGCAGCGACAGCAACAGCAGGGGUUAAUAAGAUUACAUUGAACUCAUGUGUAAUGUAGUUCCACAAAGGAAAAAAUAAUAUACACAAAAAAGUGAGCUGUUCUCAAAUUUACAUUGCCUGUUUGCUUCCUUCUCAAAAAGGCCCCAACUCAAACAAGGACAACAGCUUCAGCUAUGAUCACUAUAAUUAAAACUCAAAGACAAACAUUAAACAAGAGAGAGAUGUCACCGGCCAGAACGUCUCGUCAGUCUGCAGUACACUAUCUGAUUAAUAAGCUCCUUCUACCCUGAUUUGGCUCGUUUAUUAUGGCAAAGUUUCACCUUAGGAUGAUGUCCUAGUUGAUGAAGAUUCACCUAAGGAGACUGAAGCCAAGGAAGAUGCCCAAACCCGCGCAUUCUUUGCACCUUCACGAAAGUUCCUGGUCUUACAGAUUCUCAGUUUUGUCAAAACCCUCCUAACAUCAACCAUGUGAAGCGCACGCCCAAACAAUUGACUUGUCUCACCAAAUAUUUCCAAGUUUAAGUGUGGAACAUAGGAGACCCAGAAAGCUUUGAGACGGGAUAACACUUCUGGGAAUAUGUAUACAAGCACCCUCAAACAAAGGAACAAUACAGCAAAUACCAAAUAGGGUUCUCUUUGGAUAAUCUCCCUCGUUGACGAAACAAACCAUGGGUGGUCAGUCCUCUCCAAGCUGAUUGAUUCAUCUUCAGCAAAAUACUCCACCGGAUCAAAUCCUGAAGAAUAAAUAGUGAGGUGAAGAAAUUCACAGAAAUGAACAUUACACAGCAUGAUUUCACAAAUUCAGCUGAAUAAAAAAUGCUGGCUUUUUGAGAUGUAUGCCCUGAUAGAACAUUGAUUAAAGGACAAACAACUUCUUAGGUUCCACAAGGGCAGUUUCAAUAAUCAAUGAUUUCCGAUCACAUUUUUCCUCUAACUCAGUAAAGCUUGAUAUCAAUUCUUUAAAGGUAGAAAUCAAAAGAAACAAGUAGUACUCAGGAAAAGCAAUUUUUGGCAGAGAGAAAGAGACCUUUACCUGUGGUUUUCUCAUAGAAUUGUACUAGUGAAUGCAGAUCUUUUGGACCCUGAUACUGCAAUCUUGAUGUUUGGUUCACCAAAAAAAUUGAGGGCAAGCUAUGGAUCCCAUAUCUUGAAAAUAUACUGCAACAAGAACAUGCAGCAUCGAUAUCAGCAGACAGAACAACAUUAGGAACAUUUGAUACAUAAUUUCAUAACCAUUUAGGAUUCUUGAUCAUCUUUCAGUACGAAAAAGUAUUGAAUAGAACUGCCCCCAAAAAAAAAGAAAAAGGUUCUGCCAAAGGAUUGUAGCAAAUGAUAAACUCGCUUCCCAGCAGAAAUUAGAGGGGGCCUACAAUGGCUGCAGAGCACUAAGUUCAAAUUCCAUUUUCACCAAUUGACAUUCUCCAUGACUGACAGGCACACCAUCAGUAGAAACAAGUUUUCUAUGUACUGAAGCUGCUUCUUUCUAACACAACCAAUUAAAAACAAAAAAGAAAGGAAAUAAAAAAGAAAGGACAGAGAAAUCAAUACAGGUUGAAAAAAUAUUUCUUUCUUGAGGAUGCAUAUUAUGUCUAAUAGUACCAUCACAACACUCAGCAACCCACCACACAUUUUAUGUCAAACAAAAUAAGGUCAUCAAAAUCACACAAUGAGGCCAAUCUAACAGAAAUGAUCUUUCUGUCAGACUAUCUGUUAACCAGACCAGCCAAAAGGACACUGACAAGUAAGAAAUUCAACAAAUCACACCCAAUAAAGCCAUUAUAUUGCAAGUAUGUCAGUAAGUACCUUGGCAGGGCUGAAGAUUGUUCUAUUGUGUAAUGUUCCAUUUGUGGGAACAUUGAACUAAGGGCUUCAAAAGUAGGACGCACAUCGCGAGAAAAUGGGCACCAGGAAGCAUAAAAAAGUACGGAAGUAUAAGCAUUUCUCUGUUUUGAUGUCAAAGCUCUGUCCAGGAAUUCUCCAUCCACCUGCAGAAAGCAAAUCAGAAGCAUAGAUAAUUACACAGAGAUCUUCAUCAGCUCAGUGCUAGAAAGUAAUGCAAAAUGUGGAAAUUUCAAAGCAAAUGUUAUGCAGUCUCAAUCUAUUUCCUAGUGCUCUAGGAGAGAAGAAGACGGUAAUAAUAAAUAAAGAAAGACAGAAAAAAAUUGAUAAAGAAAUUGCAACAAAAAGAAGAUAAAAUUUUGAAAGGCAGGCUCAUAUUUUUCAAUCUAUUAACAGGAAACCACAAUAAAGGACAAAGUAACUAAAAAGUGGAAUUGACCAUGAGGAAUGCAGAACAAAAUUUACAACAGUAUAGCUCCCUUUACUGAUUAGUAAUUUAGUAAAACUGGGGUGCCGGAAAAUUUGACUAACAAAGUAAAAAGAAUACAACUUCUUUACAAAGGGAGGAGGUUGGCAGAGACCAACAAGUAGGAUUGGUCAAUGUUGGAUACCUUCUGUAGACUGUACACAAAAGGAAUAUCAAACCGAUUUAUAAACAUAUGGUGACACUAUUAAAAUUCCAUAUUACAGUGGCUUAUAGAAAUGUUGUAGACAGAAAGGUAAAAAGAAAAAGGAAAAUCAAGAGCUCCUUCAGUACCCAUAAGCCAGCCAAACAAUGUCAAAAUCUAGCAUGAGCAACGGGUAAAUGAACAUCAAAAGAAAAUAGGUGCCACAUAUAACAUUAUGGUAUGACUCAAAGUUUCAGCCAAAUGCACAGAUGAAAUCUCUGGUAGUUUUACUCAAGAGUCACUAAAAAACCUAGUAACUCAGAUUAACUAAAUUAAACUACCAAAAAACUCAUAAACACGAAGGAAUCGUACAAUUAUGGUUUUUCAUUAAAAAAAAUAUUUCAUAACUCCUAACUUUCUAAAAGUGAAAUUACAAUAGUCUUCACAUGAUUGCAUCUGAUUGGGUGCAUAUGUGAAAACAGUUAAAUGUUUUCACCACAGAUAAUGAGUCACACAAAUCAAGGAAAAGAUAUACCAUUUCCUAUCUUGUGACUACACACUCACCAAAAAAUCAGAAUGAGGGUUCUCUGAAAAUUUCACAAAUAAAAAAUUCAUUCAAUGACAUAAGCAGCCUCUAUUAUGUAAAAGAAACCCUCCAAAGAGAGCGAAUCUGUCUACUAUGCCAUUACAGAAGAAUUUCUACCGUAACCUAUCAUCAAGACAGUUCACAAACUUCUCUCUCUUAAGUCUUAACAGCAGAAAACAAGACAGCACAGAGUCAAACUCGCAUGCUUCCCAAUACAGAAGUCAAAUACAAAGGAUGUGCCCCUUAAGAUUAUAAAAAAGUGGCCUAUAACUCCACUCGCCAGAAUAGGAGAUACCAGACCCCCAACCACAUUAUAAAUAGAAAUCUCUAACAUAUGACACGUGCAACGGACCAAUCUCUGUCAGAAAGUUUUGAUCCAGUACUUUGAAAUGCUAUUCUUCAUAAUAGUAAGAAGAAUCAGAAAAAUGGGUAUGCUUUGCACUUCAAAGGUAAACCGGUCAGAGAGCAAAAAUAUAACUAUAGUCUGACAACAUUGUACAAAAAUAUACAUUCUCAUAUAAAAGUAAAUAAAUAAAUUUUCGUAAUCAUCAAGCAAUGUCAUAUGUUUACUCGCACUUCUGCAACAGCCAAGAGUCAAAAUGAUACUUGUACAGACAUCUUUCCCAUAUCAGCUCUGAAUAACCCCAUAACAACAAUUUAACCAUAAAUUCCUAACUGCCACCAAAAGUAAGACAUAGAUCAAUGCCAUGUCCCUUCAACAUAAGGGUUGCUGCUUCGAGCUAAUACUAUACACGCAAAUACUACUUACCACUCAUGUCUUCACUCAUUCGGCCACUAGUAACAUUCUAGAGAACCAAAUCAAAAUUUCAACAAAAGGCUUAUCAUACAAUCCUGCCUAGCACUUUUCAGGAACCAUUUUUAGCUCGUUAUAUGUGGUUCUGCUCUUCAUAGCAUAAAUUACAAUUUAAAUAUUCUAAAACCAAAAAUAUGCGAAGUCCUUAAUCUCAACAGGCAUUCAAAACACAAAUCCAACUACAUAUCUCAUAAUUUGCUUCUUUUUUUUUUUUGCCCCACUUAUUGGAUUAAAGAAAAAUCAGUUUUAUUCUACCGACACAAUCAACCACCCUUCAGUCGGCAAAUCAACCUUUAAUUCUCCUAACACAAAAUCCCAUCACAUUAAUCAAAACAUGACAUUUUCAACAAGAACCCCUAAAAAUACAAAACAAUUACAAAUACCCAGAAACCAAAAUCAACCAAAUAGAUCAAUAGAUCAAAUACAAACACAAAAACCCUACAAAUUAACAAAUCAGACCAAGAAAAGCAAGAACCCAAUAAUCCAUAACCA